This 253-nucleotide ribosomal RNA is filed under the name uncultured bacterium. Its description in RNAcentral is "partial 16S ribosomal RNA". It matches the Rfam family "Bacterial small subunit ribosomal RNA", at positions 524 to 776 of the family's 1533-position model. The record is from RNAcentral.
UACGUAGGGUGCGAGCGUUGUCCGGAAUUACUGGGCGUAAAGGGCUCGUAGGUGGUUUGUCGCGUUGUUCGUGAAAACCGGGGGCUUAACCCUCGGCGUGCGGGCGAUACGGGCAGACUUGAGUACUGCAGGGGAGACUGGAAUUCCUGGUGUAGCGGUGGAAUGCGCAGAUAUCAGGAAGAACACCGGUGGCGAAGGCGGCUCUCUGGGCCUUACCUGACGCUGAGGAGCGAAAGCGUGGGUAGCGAACAGG